Molecule: unclassified non-coding RNA, 2247 nt
Filed under: Hevea brasiliensis (rubber tree)
Lineage: Eukaryota; Viridiplantae; Streptophyta; Magnoliopsida; Malpighiales; Euphorbiaceae
Source: RNAcentral
GAAAAAUACUAAUACGGUCACAUAUUCACAUCCAUUUCCAUUUCUAGGGUUUUGCCAGGGUACAGACAUCUGAAAAAAAUUAAUGGAAAACUCGGAUUAUAAUCACUGAAGAUGGAAAAUCCAGAUUCAAAAACCACCGCAUCCCCACCACCGCAACGAGAACCAGAACUUAAAAAGCCUAAAAUGUCCACCACCACUUCCGACGAUGAAGAAACUGUUACGACCGCCCCUGGCGACACCACGACCAUCAAAAAGCAAAGAUACAAGCGCCGCAAAAUCGCAAUCUUCUUUGCUUACUGCGGCGUGGGCUACCAGGGAAUGCAGAAGAACCCUGGCGCCAAAACUAUCGAAGGUGAUCUCGAAGAAGCUCUAUUUCACUCUGGUGCCUUCCCGGAACAAGACCGGGGCAACCCCAAGCGGUAUGACUGGGCUCGCUCGGCUCGUACUGAUAAGGGCGUGAGCGCCGUGGGACAGGUGGUCUCCGGCCGCUUCUACAUCGACCCACCUGGGCUGGUUGAACGCUUAAAUUCGAAUCUUGCGUCACAGAUUAGAAUCUUCGGUUACAAGCGAGUGACGGCGUCGUUUAAUGCCAAGAAGUUUUGUGAUCGUAGGAGGUAUGUGUAUCUGAUUCCUGUUUUUGCUCUUGAUCCAUGUUCGCAUCCUGAUAGGGAGAGUGUGUUGGCUAGUUUGGGGUCUGAUAAUGAGCUUGUUAAGUGCUUAGAGUGUUCAGAGAGAGGGCGUAAGGUUGUUGGCGCAGUGGGUAAACGAAGUUUUGAAUUAAAAUCUGUGGUUUCUCAAACAGACAUUUCAUCGAAUGGUGAUGACCGUGUUGUGAAACCUGAAAUUAUGGACGAUAUUAGUAUGUCUACGGAUAAUGCUGAUUGUGAUAAUACAAACGCUGAAUUCUUAAAAGAAGCUAAGGUCCCUGGAAAUGUGGAUGCUGAAACACGGUGUGCAAUACCUGAAUCUGGCAUUUUGUCGAAUGAUUUAGAUGCUAAAACGGAGCCUGAUAGUAGAGAAGAGAUUAUGGAGUCUGUGGACAAUAACAAUAAUGGGAAUACAGAAACGGAAAUUAUUGAAAAGGAUCAGAAGGUUAUUGUCAGUGAAGAGAAAGUUAACGGAGACAAGCAAGUUAUGAUAGGAAGUGGGUUUUGUUAUGGAGAGAAUGAGAAAGAGAGAUUCAAUCGAAUAUUGAAGUAUUAUGUGGGGAGUCACAACUUUCAUAAUUUUACCACAAGAACUAAGGCUGAAGACCCUUCUGCUCGGCGGUACAUUAUUUCCUUCGAUGCAAAGACCUCGGUUACUGUUGAAGGCAUUGAAUUCGUCAAGUGUGAAGUUGUAGGGCAGAGUUUCAUGCUUCAUCAGAUACGGAAAAUGAUUGGUCUUGCUGUGGCAGUUGUGAGGAAUUGUGCCCCUGAGUCACUGAUAUCAACUGCUCUACAAAAAGAUGUGAACAUUAAUGUGCCUACGGCUCCUGAGGUUGGGUUAUACUUGGAUGAGUGCCUAUUCGCAUCAUAUAACCAGAAAUGGAAAGACAGCCAUGAAGAAAUCUCAAUGAAAGAUUAUGAAGAAAUGGCAGAGGACUUCAAAAUGAAGCAUAUAUACUCUCAUAUUGCGUCAACAGAACAUAAGGAAGGAGCAGUGGCCCUGUGGUUGCAUUCUUUGAACCACAGAAACUACCCUGAUCUCCGUGUUAGCAACUAUGGAGAUACCAAUGGUGAGAUGGAGAACUUGGCUAAGGAAAUGUAAAACACUUUAUCUCUUGUCUUAGUGCUAUUAAUAUGGUCUUUGAGCUGAUUAUUCACCUACAUAAACUUUUUACUUGCUUUGGACUACAUUGAAAACAUUUAAUUAGUUUUUGGUUAAUUUUUUCAUGCUUACAAGUUAUGAGUUACCUGUCACUUUCAGAUGACUUAUUGAUUGAUAAACAGAUUCAAUUUGGAACACAAAUUGAAAGGGAUAUGGAUUUUUUUGGAGCACAAGGGUAUGGAAAUUGUAUUUAGUUUUGACGUGUUAUGCAAAAUCAAAUACUAAGCAGACGUUGGUUGUUUAUGUGACAUCUUAUUAAACUCUUUGAGUAUCCCUUGCGGGAACUGUUUAUAGUUGAUUGGCAUUGUACUAGCUUUGGAGUUCAAAAGAAAAAAAGAAAAACAAAAAAAGGCUACCUAAUUAGAAUUCAUAUGUUUGGUUGAGUUUUUGCCAUCUAAAAAUAGUGUUGUCUAAUGAAGCAGAUUAUUUUCCUUUUGA